CUACGGAGGGUGCAAGCGUUAAUCGGAAUUACUGGGCGUAAAGCGUACGUAGGCGGUUAUUUAAGUCAGAUGUGAAAGCCCCGGGCUUAACUUGGGAACUGCAUUUGAAACUGGGUAACUAGAGUUUAGUAGAGGGGAGUGGAAUUUCAGGUGUAGCGGUGAAAUGCGUAGAGAUCGGAAGGAACACCAGUGGCGAAGGCGACUCCCUGGACGAAAACUGACGCUGAGGUACGAAAGCGUGGGUAGCAAACAGGAUUAGAAACCCUAGUAGUCC
This 274-nucleotide ribosomal RNA is filed under the name uncultured bacterium. RNAcentral's name for it is "partial 16S ribosomal RNA". It matches the Rfam family "Bacterial small subunit ribosomal RNA", at positions 523 to 796 of the family's 1533-position model. The record is from RNAcentral.